CCUACGGGAGGCAGCAGUGGGGAAUUUUCCGCAAUGGGGGAAACCCUGACGCAGCGACGCCGCGUGCGGGAUGAAGGCCUUCGGGUUGUAAACCGCUGUCGUACGGGACGAACCCCCGGUGGAUGAAUAAGCCAUCGGGCUGACGGUACCGUGCAAGAAAGCCCCGGCUAACUCCGUGCCAGCAGCCGCGGU
This 192-nucleotide ribosomal RNA is filed under the name uncultured bacterium. RNAcentral describes it as "partial 16S ribosomal RNA". It matches the Rfam family "Bacterial small subunit ribosomal RNA", at positions 338 to 521 of the family's 1533-position model. The record is from RNAcentral.